This 256-nucleotide ribosomal RNA is filed under the name uncultured bacterium. RNAcentral's name for it is "partial 16S ribosomal RNA". It matches the Rfam family "Bacterial small subunit ribosomal RNA", at positions 77 to 334 of the family's 1533-position model. The record is from RNAcentral.
CUUCGGUGUAGAUGGCGAGUGGCGGACGGGUGAGUAACGCGUACACAACCUACCUAUAAGAGGGGGAUAGCCACUGGAAACGGUGAAUAAUACCCCAUAGUAUUACUUUUAUGAUAUAUGAGUAAUUAAAGUUUAGGCGCUUAUAGAUGGGUGUGCGUCCGAUUAGCUAGUUGGUAAGGUAACGGCUUACCAAGGCGACGAUUGGUAGGGGGCGUGAGAGCGUGAACCCCCACACGGGUACUGAGACACGGACCCG